UUUCCCUGGAACUGGAGUUACUGUCAUGUGGGUGCUGGGAAUCGACCCUGGGUCCUCUGAAAGGGCAGUCAGUGCUCUUAAUCACUGAGCCGUCUCUCCACCCCCCACCCAAAAGACUCCUAAAUUCUUAAUCAUUUUAUCAAGAAGACUUAGAAAGUGUAGAUGUGUAUUGUCUAAUUACCUUUUUCUUUCAUCUCAGUCCGAAGGACAACCGCACUGUCCUGUCCUUGUCUGCACGUGCUUCCCUUUAAUUUGCUGGUGUCAGGGUUUGUCUCUGCCUUCUCGGCCUUUGGAUUAAUUUGAGCCUUUCCGCCUUGUUGAUGGGAAUAUAAAGCAGUGCAUCUGCAAUGGAAGGCAGGGUACAGGCCCCUCAAAAAAUUAAGCCCCAAAUUACCGUACAGCCCAAUAAUUUCACUUCUGAAUAUGUGCUCUGAAACACUGAAAGCAAGGACUCACAGAGACAGACAUCGGUAUUCAGGACAGCACUGUUUACAGUGGUCCUAAGGUGGAAGCAACCAAGGUGACCAGGGCAUCAACGAUGAAUGAACGAAUCAGUGUGGUGAUCCAUGCUGGAUAUAGUCAGCCUUCAAAGGCACAAGCUAUGACACGUCAUGACCUGCAUGAACCUCGGCACACUGUGCUAAGUGAAAUAAGCCAGUUAUGAAAGGAUACCUACUGUGAAUCAAGUUUAUAGAGACAAGUCUCAUGUAGCUGGUAAUGACCUAGAACUUGUGAUCCUCCUGCCUCUACCUCCUGAGUGCUGGGAUUCUCAGUGUGCUCCACCACACUUGGUUUAUGUAGUGCUGCGGCUGGACCCAGGGCUUUGUGAAUGCCAGGCAAACACUGCCAACUCAGCAGCAUCCCAGAUUGAUUCAGCUUUUUUAAAGAGGGAGCUGUCCUUGAACACAGUUACCGAGCAGGUGGAACCUCGUCAUUGGAACCUCCACAGAAGCCCCAGGGAAGAGUUCGGACAACAUUGGGUAGUGUUUAAAGAGGACUUGAUCCAUAUGUGCAGUAGAUUUCAGCAUCCCAGCCUGUUUAUCAGAAAAACUCCAUAGCAACUUUAGCAGAUAACUUUUAGAAAUACAGGAAAGUGACAUAACAUUUAAAAUUUUAGAGAUGUUCCAGUGUAUGCGUCUUAAUCAGAAUGAUUGUUCUCUGUUAAAUAUUUUGUUUCUCAUUUCAUUUAUUCUAAAUUGUAAAAUGAUGUAAAACAUCUUUUACUAAAUACUGAGAAAUUAGCUACUUGGAAAAUUAGAAUGAAUUCUAGUAUUCUGAUGUCCUGGGCAGUUGUGGAGUUAUUUGGAAAUAAUCUGAUCUUUUGAAUAUUGCUUGCAUGAUUUAUUCAUUACAUCUAGUUUAGGACUAACUUUUUCCCUGUUGUUGAAGCAAGCCUUUUCUAUGUGCUAUCUACUAUCCUCUGAGUCUGAGGACCCCCUCCUCCAGCCCAUGAGAGAAGGGGCUCUUUUUUUUUCUUUUUUUUUUUUAAUGUUUAAUAACUACAUGCUUAGAAGAAGCAUUUCAUUACAGCUUUAACAUAUUCAGUAACACUCUC
Long non-coding RNA from Nannospalax galili (Upper Galilee mountains blind mole rat), 1555 nucleotides. RefSeq lists it as uncharacterized. The transcript has 3 exons. The record is from RefSeq and is a predicted model, not a curated record. NCBI's taxonomy places the organism in Eukaryota, Metazoa, Chordata, Mammalia, Rodentia, Spalacidae.